RNAcentral lists this ribosomal RNA (253 nucleotides) under uncultured bacterium. RNAcentral describes it as "partial 16S ribosomal RNA". It matches the Rfam family "Bacterial small subunit ribosomal RNA", at positions 524 to 776 of the family's 1533-position model. The record is from RNAcentral.
UACAGAGGGUGCGAGCGUUAAUCGGAAUUACUGGGCGUAAAGCGUGCGUAGACGGUUUCGUAAGUCGGGUGUGAAAUCCCCGGGCUCAACCUGGGAAUUGCAUUCGAAACUGCGAGGCUAGGGUACGGAAGAGGGAAGCGGAAUUUCUGGUGUAGCGGUGAAAUGCGUAGAUAUCAGAAGGAACAUCAGUGGCGAAAGCGGCUUCCUGGUCCAGUACCGACGUUCAGGCACGAAAGCUAGGGGAGCAAACGGG